AGGGAUCAUUACACAAAUAUGAAGGCGGGCUGGAACCUCUCGGGGUUACAGCCUUGCUGAAUUAUUCACCCUUGUCUUUUGCGUACUUCUUGUUUCCUUGGUGGGUUCGCCCACCACUAGGACAAACAUAAACCUUUUGUAAUUGCAAUCAGCGUCAGUAACAAAUUAAUAACUACAACUUUCAACAACGGAUCUCUUGGUUCUGGCAUCGAUGAAGAACGCAGCGAAAUGCGAUAAGUAGUGUGAAUUGCAGAAUUCAGUGAAUCAUCGAAUCUUUGAACGCACAUUGCGCCCUUUGGUAUUCCAAAGGGCAUGCCUGUUCGAGCGUCAUUUGUACCCUCAAGCUUUGCUUGGUGUUGGGCGUCUUGUCUCUAGCUUUGCUGGAGACUCGCCUUAAAGUAAUUGGCAGCCGGCCUACUGGUUUCGGAGCGCAGCACAAGUCGCACUCUCUAUCAGCAAAGGUCUAGCAUCCAUUAAGCCUUUUUUUCAACUUUUGACCUCGGAUCAGGUAGGGAUACCCGCUGAACUUAA
Molecule: ribosomal RNA, 531 nt
Filed under: uncultured Alternaria
Lineage: Eukaryota; Fungi; Ascomycota; Dothideomycetes; Pleosporales; Pleosporaceae
Description: eukaryotic LSU rRNA
Rfam family: 5.8S ribosomal RNA (bases 177-330)
Source: RNAcentral